UACGGAGGAUCCGAGCGUUAUCCGGAUUUAUUGGGUUUAAAGUGUGCGUAGGCGGCCAUUUAAGUCAGCGGUGAAAUUUUGCAGCUUAACUGUAACAGUGCCGUUGAUACUGUUUGGCUAGGAUUUGGUUGUAGUGUGCGGAAUGUGUGGUGUAGCGGUGAAAUGCUUAGAUAUCACACAGAACACCGAUUGCGAAGGCAGCACACUAAGUCAUUAUUGACUCUGAGGCACGAAAGUGUGGGGAUCAAACAGGAUUAGA
This 259-nucleotide ribosomal RNA is filed under the name uncultured prokaryote. Its description in RNAcentral is "partial 16S ribosomal RNA". It matches the Rfam family "Bacterial small subunit ribosomal RNA", at positions 524 to 782 of the family's 1533-position model. The record is from RNAcentral.